GAUGAAGAACGCAGCGAAAUGCGAAAAGUAAUGUGAAUUGCAGAAUUCAGUGAACCAUCGAAUCUUUGAACGCACAUUGCGCCCGCUGGAACUCCGGCGGGCACGCCUGUCCGAGCGUCAUUUCAACCCUCAGGCCCCCCUUCGCGGGCGGGCCUGGUGUUGGGGCCCGGCCGCUACCCUGCGGCCGUCCCCUAAAUCCAGUGGCGGCCUCGCCGUGAUCCCUUGCGUAGUAAUGCACCUCGCACAGGAGAGCGCCGUGGCCACGCCGUAAAACCCCCAAUUUUCAAUGGUUGACCUCGGAUCAGGUGGGAAUACCCGCUGAACUUAAGCAUAUCAAUAAGCGGAGGA
This 348-nucleotide unclassified non-coding RNA is filed under the name soil metagenome. Its description in RNAcentral is "partial contains 5.8S ribosomal RNA, internal transcribed spacer 2, and large subunit ribosomal RNA". The stretch from base 1 to 120 matches the Rfam family "5.8S ribosomal RNA", at positions 35 to 154 of the family's 154-position model. The record is from RNAcentral.